This 253-nucleotide ribosomal RNA is filed under the name uncultured bacterium. RNAcentral's name for it is "partial 16S ribosomal RNA". It matches the Rfam family "Bacterial small subunit ribosomal RNA", at positions 524 to 776 of the family's 1533-position model. The record is from RNAcentral.
UACGUAGGGUGCGAGCGUUAAUCGGAAUUACUGGGCGUAAAGCGUGCGCAGGCGGUGAUGUAAGACCGAUGUGAAAUCCCCGGGCUUAACCUGGGAACUGCAUUGGUGACUGCAUCGCUCGAGUAUGGCAGAGGGGGGUAGAAUUCCACGUGUAGCAGUGAAAUGCGUAGAGAUCGGCAGGAACACCCAGGGGGAAACCAGUCGACUGGGCAUCUACUGACGCUGAGGUGCGAGAGCGUGGGGAGCGAACCGG